UCGCGGGAGCGAAGGGUCGCGCGGGCUUGGUUUUGCUGCUGCCAUUUUCUUCAGUAGCUGCUGUCAAGUUGGUUCUUUGUUUGAUGCUGCUGUCCCGACUGGUGAGAUUCUUGUGCGCACAACGUCCAUCAGACUUGCCCGCUGAUGCCCACGACAUGAGUGUGGACUUGCUCCCUGCAACCUUGGUCUGCUUUUGUGGGCGCAAUUACCUCACCACUUCUGUGCUUGACGGCGGCGUCUGAAGCAGCAUACCUAUAUCGCCGAACCCUCGUGUGCUACCUACUGUGUGCCAGCUUUUGCAGCUGAAUGUGUGAGCUUUCUCCGUGGGAUCGUUGCAAGCGUGAAAGCGUCGUUUCUUCCUUCUGCCUCAAUUGCGAUCACUGGAGCCAUGGUGUACUGUUGUGUGCCAUUUUGCAAAUCCCAACAGGGGAAGACGCCGGGUGUUUCCUUUCACCAAUUUCCUAGCGAUGCGGAACUGUGUUCUAAGUGGCGAAAAAGCAUUUCUCGUGAAAAUCUCGUCAUCAACGACAAGUCCGCAUCAACUGUAGUGUGUAGCAAACACUUCAAUGAGAGUGAUUAUGUUCCCGGAUGCCGAAUACGGAAGUUGCUCGUGGGAGUUGCACCGACCGUCUUCAAACUAUAUCCGUCCUACAUGGUGCCAGCUGCAAAGAGACCGCGUAAGGACCCUGCAUAUCGUGACCCCCCAGCUCCUAGAAAUUCACCAAAGCGGAAAGCAGAGUCGCUGUUGCCUGUUCAUGAAGAUUUUGGUGCCAGGGAGGAGGUAACCGAGGAAAAACAAAGUGCUUCAACACAAACCAACAGUAACAACGCUCACCGAUCUAGUUACUAUCUUGUCAUUAUGAAAAGGCUUCGGGCUCAAGUUGCCUACCAGCGCUCGAAGUGCGCGGGGCUCCUGAGAAAGCUUGCCGUAGACAAAGAAAAGAUGAACGAAUACAACGACGACAAACACUAUAUUGCCGUCAAAAAGAUUGUUGCCGAUUCCCAGAAAGGUGAGAAAAAGGCUGUUUUUCUCCGUCACCAGAUUGAAGUCUAUGGCAGUAAACGACCAUGUUAUUCUGAAGAAGUUGUCAGAGAGUGUGUGAUUUGGCGCUUCCUUUCGCCAAAAGGUUAUGAUCACGCCCGAAAAUCUGACCUCUUGACACUGCCGGCGAAGUGUACGCUUCAGAGGUACGUGGGCCCAAGCCCAACGUCUUCAGGUAUGAGUCCUGCGAUGAAGGAGAGGCUGAUCUUUGAGGCCUCGAUGCUCAGCAGCAAACAGCGCAUGGCGUCGUUGAUCGUAGACGAGGCUGCCAUUAAGCAAAAAUGUGUGUAUGACAGAAAGGCCGACACAGUUUUUGGUCUCAAAGACAAACCCAGCAACAGUGCGGCAAGCAGCUCGGCAGAGACUCUUGCAAAUAGAGUACUGUGCUUUGUUCUGCAUGGUGUGGCGAAUUCAUACAGGAUACCAUGUGCCUACUACUUUACGAAACAGCUGAGUGGGAGAGACCUGUUUGCCUGGACCAAGGAGGUAAUCUCUGCUGUGGAGUCCUGCGGAUUCGUAAUUGUCAGAAUCGUUACAGAUAAUUACUCAGCAAAUGUCACUAUGCUUAAACACAUGGGAAGUGGAUGUUUGUCUUCAGUAGUCCCCCAUCCUCACGAUUCAGAUAGAGUCAUGUUCCUGAGUUUUGACCCUUGUCAUAUCCUCAAAAACAUACGCAGCCAGUUCCUGGAACGUGAACUUACAGACGGCACAGAGGUCAUUACUGGGAAGUUUGUACAGAAACUUUAUGAAUUUCAAAAAGACAAAACCGUUAAACUGGCAAGAAACUUGACCAGGAAGCACGUUUACCCGUCGAACUUAGAAAAAAUGAACGUGCUCCGCGCAGUUCAGAUAUUCUCCCCGCAAGUGAUUGCAGCGUUGUGUCAUCUCCAGGAGAACCGGUUCGGCGACCCAGCUCUUUACAGUUUCAGAGGAGUGAGCCCAACAAUAUUGUUCAUGAAGAUGAUGAAGCAAUGGUUCGACGUCCAUGACACGGUGUACAGUGGCAGUGACAACAAGAAGCCGAUCUCUGACGAAAACGACCACAGAAUACUAUGGCUGGAGAAGGAUUUUACCUGUUACGUGAGGAAUAUUCAAGAGGAGUCAAUUGCAUCAGGAAAGGGUGAAUUCACAGAUGAAACGUACAGCGCCUUGCUGUUCACCACGAAGGCAACAGUGGAGACAAGGUUCCUCUUAAGGAGGGGAAUCAAAUAUGUCCUGACAAGGAACUUUAGCAGUGACCCAGUUGAAGCACUCUUCGGACGGCUCAGGUCCAUGUGUGGGGGUAACGAUGUGCUUGAUGCAAGGGCUGUCACAAUUGCCCUUGAUAACAUUGUCAAAGGCAAGGCCAUCCCUCUAAAGCAAAUGCAGGCGACAGAUGCUCAUGCUGAAGAGCUUGCUACAGCUGUACCACAGGAGGUAAUUGCACAGCUGGAGAACCUGAAAGGACACUUUUUGGAUCCAUCCACCUCAAUGACAUACUCCGGUCUGGUGUAUGUUGGGGGGUACCUCGUAAAACUCAUUAGUGAGUUUGGUUGUGAUGCAUGUGUGAUGAUGGUGACGACGACUAACAAAGGGGAUCCUUUGUACACUCUAUUGCGCGAACAGAACAAAAGUGGACUGCAUUACCCGAAUCGCAUGUUCUUGGCACUUUUGGACAGCAUUGUGGCUUUCUUUGAAGCAGCUGCGAAGCACCUUCCGCGAACAAAAGUGCAUGAAGUGCUGCAACUUCUCGUUGCACCCUACCUUGAACAAUCGCCCAUCUUGAACUGCCCAGAAGAUGUUGGCAAUGGUCACACAAGGCGCACAGCUAAUGUGAUUGCUGACAAAUUUGUCAGACUGCUUCUAGUAAAUCACACAAAGAUGGUAACGGAAAAAAAUGAAAAACCAGUUCCUUACGUGCACAAGCCAUCCAGAAAAUAUUUUAGGCUAUAAUGUACAUACAUGAUGUGAAGGUUGUUGGCACCAAAAUGUACAAGAGUGCACUGUAUUGAUGAGGAAAUAAAUAGUUUGUACCUGUAAAAUUUUUAUUUGUGUUGUAGCCUCGCAGUAUCUGUACCUUUCUUAUAAAUUGAAGUGCGUGUACUGAGAUAAUCAUUUCCCCUUUGUAACGACAUGUGUAUUCAAUAAUUGUGGGUGUUGGCUUAAGCUUCCCCUUUAAUCUUGACAGCGUCGUCUGCUACAGGCUUGCGGCUUCAAGCAGAGGCUGUAAGCCGUUUCAUCCACAUCGUACGAGGCUAUGGUGUUGACUACCGACACUGAAAAUAAAGAUUAGGCUUUAAAAUUUGAGAUAACUUGCGUCUGACAGCCGGAAUUACACAGCUCUUGCUUAUAUGCAUCCUGCCGGAGCGCAUCUGUGAACGCGCUUUGCGGAGGCGGCAGCGGUUAAGCAGCGGUUAGAGAGCCUACAUACGGGACUUCCGUCUAGAGUGGUGUCAGCCUUUGACACACCACAUGCCGCCGGCCGCCAAAACACAUAGUUGCCCGAGAGAGACGCAGCGCCAUCUUGGUCCCCACACCAGUUUGCUCUGUGCUUGCCGCCGUGAGCCGUGCAGCGGAAUCGCGUUUAAUCCUUGUCUAGGCAGCGUCGAAGGCUGUGGAAACGUGUUAAAUGCGGUCAGCGAAGCCUGAGGAGCAAAAAUGCCUGGUUGUUGCGUACCUCUGUGCACUAACCACUGCAGGAAGGGCGUGCGAAUGUUUCGCUUCCCAACCAGCCCGAGCCGAAGAAAACGCUGGCUCGCGCAAGUGAAGCGAGACUGCUGGGAGCCCACCACCGCUUCACGUGUUUGCUAUGUGAGUACUGUCUGUUUUCCUCGUUGUUUUUCUUUCGCUGUAGAAUAAGCUUUAUGAAUUUGACCGUCUCAACGUAUCCAGAUAAUCGAACGUGUCGUUUCUGGGAUUAUGUGUCGCGAGUAGGAAGAUCAGCUGUAGUUUCAAGAGCUUUUUCACCUGGAUGUGUUGUCCAUGCUCGCGCCGGCUUUCCACGGGCGUGAAAUUGAGCCGCGUGGUGCUGAUCACAAAUGUGUCUCGACGGAGAGGCUAGGUGACUAGUCGACGUGGUGCUUUAUCCUGUUGUAACAGCGAGUAGCGAGGAUCACUCGAGCACGCGGUUGUCGAUAAGAUAUGUGCAGCCCGCGCUCUUUUUAAGACGCGUAAAUUGACGUGUCUUCUUUGACGUCGAGUCACCGCUUCCAUCCCGACAAAAUAUUUACACUACUGAACGGAACUUCUCGCCAAAAGCCCUGAGUUGGUAGUUCAAUGAGCGUUUGAAGCUGCAUCGGCACUUUUACUAUUGGUGUGCUGUUGCAUCUAUUUUGUGCACAGAAUGAUCAAGCUACGAAUGCAUAAUGGGAGAACACGUUUGAGGACUGACUUCAGAGGCAAAUGUGCACAUAUAGUUUUUAUCAGUUGUGAACUACAUUACAAUGAACAGUCGAGCGCCCGCUUCGCGAACUUGUACGGCUGAAAGAUUUUCCUUCUAAUGCGUCUUGCGUGCAGCCCCGUUCGGAACGUUCACGUGAAUGCACUUACUUAAUUAUGCUAACGGCCGUGUGGUGACAUUUAUUGCAGGCUCAUUUCGAAGAUUCAAGCUUCGAACAGAAAAGGCAAGAUGGCUUGAAGAAAUUGAGGCCAGAUGCCGUUCCAACAGUUUUUGCUUUUCGAUCCGCCCCCAAACAUCGGAAGCCACCAAAGAAGCGCAGCUGUCCUGUGCAGCCUUCCUGCGAUGCCACCCCUGCAACUUCCCCGGAGCCACACCAGCC
This is an RNA transcript of Dermacentor silvarum, 4800 nucleotides long. RefSeq lists it as uncharacterized. The record is from RefSeq and is a predicted model, not a curated record. The transcript has 2 exons. Lineage: Eukaryota; Metazoa; Arthropoda; Arachnida; Ixodida; Ixodidae.